This is a long non-coding RNA of Suricata suricatta (meerkat), 219 nucleotides long. RefSeq lists it as uncharacterized. NCBI's taxonomy places the organism in Eukaryota, Metazoa, Chordata, Mammalia, Carnivora, Herpestidae. The record is from RefSeq and is a predicted model, not a curated record. The transcript is spliced from 3 exons.
CCCAGGACUCCAGGCCCCCAGCCCCUCCUCCAUGGGGACCCCACCUCACUCCCGUGUUCUCUGUUCCUUAGGUCCCACGGGAUGUCGGACACCGAGGAGCAGGAAUAUGAGGAGGAGCAGCCCGAAGAGGAGGCUGCGGAGGAGGAGGAGGAAGGUGAGGCCUGGACUCCGCGGGUCUGCAGCCUUGGGGGCUGCCCCGCGGGGCCGGGUGGGGAGGGG